CAAAAUCCUGUUUUCUGAAACAGAUGUAGGCUGUGGAACAUUCCUCUGCUGAGAUCCUGGGGUAGGAUCAAUGGAGAAGAGUCCUUUGGCAGUCUCUUUGCUAAUCCUGUGGCUUCAUCUUGGCCGAGCGGGCAGCGUAUUGAAUGUGGAACAGUAUCCCCUGUUGCUUCAUGUUCAGGAAGGAGAAAACACUAAUUUCACCUGCCGUUUUCCUACCAGCAAUUUUUAUGCCUUACAGUGGUACAGAUGGGAAUCUGCAAAAAGCCCUGAGCUCCUGUUUACAAUUACUUUAAAUGGGGAUGAAAAGGAGGAAGGACGAGUAAAAGUCACUCUUGAUACUAAGAAGGGUUCUAGCUCCUUGUACUUCAAAGGAUCCCAGCUGGAAGAUGCAGCCAUGUACCUCUGUGCCUGGACACAGUGCUCUUCAGGCACCUGCAGCCCAUACCCAAACCCGUGGCUGGUGCUGCUCUGGUGUCAGCGUUGACAAGUGCCAUGUGCAGGGUGGAAAAGGCAAACUCAUUGAACUACAGUGUUUUUCAAUAAUCAGGGGAAAGUGCAGACAGACAAACAAACCUUCUAGUCACUGUAGCUCCCUCAAUUAACUGGAUUAUUCCUAAGCACCACUAACCUCAACUCCCACCAACAUAUUAGCUGUGUCACCAAGUUGAGUCAGACCCCUUGCUUCCUCUUUUGGCAUAACCGAUUGCAGAGGAACUAGAUGGUUACUCCAGCCUACCUAAAAUAAUCUGGUUAAACUGGGAUAACAUUUACUCCUCACUGUUGUUACAUCCUAAAAGCUGGUCAUUCAGUCAUAUCUCUUCACAUGCAUGAGUGGAACAUGUGAACAUGGCCUCUUCUCAUAUCUGGCAUGGAGCUCUGCACGCACCAUAUCAGAACGGGGUUUGGGGAUUGGGGUCUGGGUUCAGUUCAACCUACCCCCUACGUGAACAUC
Non-coding RNA from Hyaena hyaena (striped hyena), 952 nucleotides. NCBI's taxonomy places the organism in Eukaryota, Metazoa, Chordata, Mammalia, Carnivora, Hyaenidae. The record is from the annotation of a RefSeq genome assembly.